This 999-nucleotide ribosomal RNA is filed under the name uncultured bacterium. RNAcentral's name for it is "bacterial SSU rRNA". It matches the Rfam family "Bacterial small subunit ribosomal RNA", at positions 355 to 1375 of the family's 1533-position model. The record is from RNAcentral.
UGGGGAAUAUUGCACAAUGGGGGAAACCCUGAUGCAGCGACGCCGCGUGAGCGAAGAAGUAUUUCGGUAUGUAAAGCUCUAUCAGCAGGGAAGAAAAUGACGGUACCUGACUAAGAAGCCCCGGCUAACUACGUGCCAGCAGCCGCGGUAAAACGUAGGGUGCAAGCGUUGUCCGGAAUUACUGGGUGUAAAGGGAGCGCAGGCGGACCGGCAAGUUGGAAGUGAAAACCAUGGGCUCAACCCGUGAAUUGCUUUCAAAACUGCUGGCCUUGAGUAGUGCAGAGGUAGGUGGAAUUCCCGGUGUAGCGGUGGAAUGCGUAGAUAUCGGGAGGAACACCAGUGGCGAAGGCGACCUACUGGGCACCAACUGACGCUGAGGCUCGAAAGCAUGGGUAGCAAACAGGAUUAGAUACCCUGGUAGUCCAUGCCGUAAACGAUGAUUACUAGGUGUUGGAGGAUUGACCCCUUCAGUGCCGCAGUUAACACAAUAAGUAAUCCACCUGGGGAGUACGACCGCAAGGUUGAAACUCAAAGGAAUUGACGGGGGCCCGCACAAGCAGUGGAGUAUGUGGUUUAAUUCGAAGCAACGCGAAGAACCUUACCAGGGCUUGACAUCCCACUAACGAAGUAGAGAUACAUUAGGUGCCCUUCGGGGAAAGUGGAGACAGGUGGUGCAUGGUUGUCGUCAGCUCGUGUCGUGAGAUGUUGGGUUAAGUCCCGCAACGAGCGCAACCCUUAUUGUUAGUUGCUACGCAAGAGCACUCUAGCGAGACUGCCGUUGACAAAACGGAGGAAGGUGGGGACGACGUCAAAUCAUCAUGCCCUUUAUGACCUGGGCUACACACGUAAUACAAUGGUCAUUAACAGAGGGAAGCAAAGCCGCGAGGCAGAGCAAAUCCCCAAAAAUGAUCUCAGUUCGGAUCGCAGGCUGCAACCCGCCUGCGUGAAGUUGGAAUUGCUAGUAAUCGCAGAUCAGCAUGCUGCGGUGAAUACGUUCCC